UUGUGCUUUCUUUUGUAGAGAAACUGAAUUUUUAUAAAAGUCUACAGCUUUUAAAAUGUUUAGGAUAUAUGUAAUAGUGAUCUUUGGCGUAAUUAAGUGUUUUGAAAAGUUCCGUUGUGCGAAAGUGAAUGUCAUGCGCUUCUUCAUGCGCUACCAAAAACAUUGAACUCCAAAGGUGUUUCAACAUGUUUAGUGGAAAAUAGAUUUUUUUUUCCCAAUAAAUAUAGAGAUUGCAGUUCUGCGGACAUUGGUAAAACAUAACCGUAGCUGUGUAUUAAACCACAUCCUAUCUAGACCAGUUUGACGUUAUCCAGGCAUAAGAUUAGUACAAUUUGAGGAAAACUGUUGCAGUAUAGACUCUGUGGAUCAAACCAUGUCACCACUACGAAAAUCAUUGAAAUUGGCAAGCCUUUAUUGACAUGUGACGAAAAUGGAAACAUUAAAGAAGUAUCAAAAGAGCUUACCUAUAUUAGGUUGCCUUCCCACAGUAAUGCAUUUUAUAGCGUAAACGCGGAAAGAACCACUACAAAUCUUGUUAAUGAAUUCAAUCCAAUAACUUGGAAAACUAUUAGGAAUUUUGAAUCAUUUUUGAAUGCAAAUUUUGCAAAA
Molecule: long non-coding RNA, 609 nt
Organism: Anthonomus grandis grandis
Lineage: Eukaryota; Metazoa; Arthropoda; Insecta; Coleoptera; Curculionidae
Exons: 4
Source: RefSeq, a predicted model, not a curated record